Molecule: ribosomal RNA, 253 nt
Filed under: uncultured bacterium
Lineage: Bacteria
Description: partial 16S ribosomal RNA
Rfam family: Bacterial small subunit ribosomal RNA
Source: RNAcentral
CACGUAGGGCGCAGGCGUUGUCCGGAAUUAUUGGGCGUAAAGGGCGCGUAGGCGGCCGUUUGCGUCGGAUGUGAAAGCCCGGGGCUCAACCUCGGAACGGCAUUCGAUACGGGACGGCUGGAGACCGGGAGAGGAGAGUGGAAUAGCCAGUGUAGAGGUGAAAUUCGUAGAUAUUGGCUGGAACACCGGUGGCGAAAGCGGCUCUCUGGCCCGGUUCUGACGCUGAGGCGCGAAAGCGUGGGGAGCAAACAGG